UCCCUGCUUUUCCUCCCUGAGCAGGUGCCUUAGCGUGAUGACAGCGAUAAGGCUUGCAAGCCCCGGCCGCAUGGCCGGGGCUCCUUUUUUU
This 91-nucleotide non-coding RNA is filed under the name Burkholderiales bacterium JOSHI_001. RNAcentral describes it as "Burkholderia RNA 7 (anti-hemB)". It matches the Rfam family "Burkholderia RNA 7 (anti-hemB)". Rfam says of the family: This RNA motif was identified by computational search in b-proteobacteria Burkholderia. Co-purified with Hfq, expression confirmed by Northern blot. Putative functional homologue of SP-RydB and predicted target hemB. The record is from Rfam by way of RNAcentral. Lineage: Bacteria; Pseudomonadati; Pseudomonadota; Betaproteobacteria; Burkholderiales.